UAUAGAAGUAAAUAUAAAAGCUAAAUUAGUAUUAGUUAUAAUCUUAAAAGUUAAAGAUUUUGGCGGUAUUUUAGUCUUUUCAGAGGAAUCUGUCCUGUAAUUGAUAAUCCACGAUUAAUUAAACUUUUAUUAUUAAUUUGUAUAUCAUCGUGAAUGAAUAUUUUAAAAGAAUAAAUAUUCAAAAUUUAUAAUUUUAAUAAAAAUCAGAUCAAGGUGCAGUUUAUAUAAAAGAAGAGAUGGAUUACAAUAAAUUUAUUUAAAUAGAUAUUUAAAUGAAAUUUUAAAUUGAAAGUGGAUUUGAGAGUAAUUUUAUUAAUUUAAUUAAAAUGAUUUUAGCUCUAAAAUAUGC
RNAcentral lists this ribosomal RNA (349 nucleotides) under Sosylus sp. CO665. Its description in RNAcentral is "partial 12S ribosomal RNA". The record is from RNAcentral. Lineage: Eukaryota; Metazoa; Arthropoda; Insecta; Coleoptera; Bothrideridae.